GAGAAUGAAGAAAUUAAUUAAAAAUAACAACUGUCAUAUUUUCUGAAUAUUCCUGGAUGAUUACACUGAUUGACAUUAUAUGCUACUGGAUAGUGACAACAAGAUUUGUGUAACAAACCUUCUAAGAAAAAGACACAUGUCCUACUUCUAGAAUCAACUAAGGGGAAUAGUACUUAAUUGAAAUGCUUAAUACUAUGGGACUAAAGUAAAAAUAACGAAACUAUAAGACUACUCGUCUAUAAACAAAAGCCUCUUCAGUCUCCUUUCCAAACUAUCUUCGAUCAAUCAACAUAUCCACGACCACCGCUACAUUCCAUCCCCUCAAAGAAACUUGAUGCAAUUCAAGGUUUAAAGGCGGAAAAUUGACUCUUCAAAAAGGAAUAUUCUUCCUACGUAGCUUCUGCAGGGGCCAAAUUAGCCCAUUGCACCAAUACUUCAACCACUGCCCUAUUCAUCUUUUUAACCAUCAUCAUUUCUAAUAUCUUCAGUGGCUUUGUCAAAAUUUGACCAUCAUUAGUGCAAUAAGGUGGAUCCUGAGUGGCGAAAGUCUUUUCUCCAAUUUUCUUCUUUAAUUGUGAAACAUGAAAGACAGGGUGUAUCUUUGAUCCCAACGGUAGUCGGAGCUCAUAAGCUACUGGACCAACUCUGUUAAUUACCUCAUUAGGACCAAAGUAUCUAGCUGAAAGCUUCAGAUUUCUUCGUACUGCUAUUGAGGUCUGCCGAUAAGGUUGUAGUUUCAAGAACACCCAAUCCCCAACUGAAAAAUUCCUUUCUUUCCUUUUCCCAUCGGCAUAAAUUUUCAUUCUGAAUUGCGCUUUGGUGAGAUUGUCUUGAAGGACUUUGGACAUCAACUGCCUUUCCCUCAAUACUAAGUGAACUGAAUCAAGCUUUGUUUGGGCCACUAGCUCGAAUGUUAGUUGCGGUGGAUCAUAGCCAUAGAAAGCAUUAAAGGGGGUCAUCCCAAUUGCUGAGUGAAAGUUUGAAUUGUACCAGAACUCUGCCAAGGAUAACCCUUUGCUCCAAUCAAAUGUCUUAUGGCCAGUUAUGCAUCUGAGGUAUGUCUCCAAGCAACGAUUUAAACUCUCAGACUGCUCAUCUGUUUGUGGGUAGUAAGCAGUGCUUCUCUUUAGUUGUACAUGUAAUCCCCUGAAAAGAUCUUUCCAGAAACCGCUAAUAAAAAUUGGAUCCCGAUCUGAAACUAUAGAACUAGGCAUUCCAUAUAGUUUGCAGACGUUAUCUAAGAACACUUGUAAAAUUUGACUGGUAGUGUAAGGGUGAGUUAAUGCAAAGAAAGGAGCAAACUUUGUAUAUCUAUCAAUUACCAUAAGUAUUGAGUCUUUCCCAUGGGAUUUUGGCAAACCACUGAUGAAAUCCAUUUCUACAUGUCCCUAGGCUCAUGAGGGAAUUGGCAGUGGUCGUAAAAGACCCGAGUAAGCAACACUUUCACCCUUAUUUCUUUGACAAAUCUUACACUUUUUCACAUGAUUUUUGACGUCUUGUAAUAGUGUAGGACAAUAAAAUAGAGAUCUAAGUCUCUGUUGAGUAUCAUGUAUGACUUAGUGGCCACCCCAUGGAGAGGAAUGCAUCUCAUUAAUUAGCCUCUGCCUUAAAGAUCCAUGACUACCUACCCAUACUUUUCCAUUUUGCCCGAGAAUGCCAUCUUGAAGUUGCGCUCCUGGAGAAGUAUUAGGAUCCGCACUCAGUUGUGUAAUCAUGUGUUGAACCACUGCAUCAUUUUGGUAGCUUUCAAUUAUAUCAUUAGCCCACUUAGGAUGGACGACUGAGAGCCCAGAACAGUUUCCUUCCUUAAAUUUUCUUGAGAGUGCAUCUGCAGACACAUUUUCAUUUCCCUUUUUGUAUUGGAUUUCAUUGCUAAGACCCAAUAAUUUAGUGACCCCUCUUUGUUAUAAUGAGGUAGUUAUCUUUUGGUCUUUGAGAAACUUGAGGCUAAAAUGAUCUGUCUUUAUGAUAAAGUGGUUGGGUUGUAGAUAAUGUCGCCAUUUUUUUGCGGUAAACAUUAAGGCAAUCAGUUUUUCUUCGUAGGUUGAUAGACCAAGAUGCCUUGAACUCAAUGCUUGACUGAUAAAUGCAAUGGUCCUUCCUCCUUGAAUCAAAAUUGCCCCUAUCCCUUUUUCACUUGCAUCUACUUCAACAAUGAAGGAGAUUGAAAAAUUGGGUAGUGCUAGUACAGGGGCCUGGACCAUAGCCUGCUUCAGCUCCUCAAAGGCUUGAGUUGCUUCUAUGGUCCAACUAAAAUUACCCUUUUUCAGUAGAUUGGUCAAAGGUUUACUAAUUGUAGCAAAAUUCUUUAUAAACCUUCGAUAGUAAACUGUAAGGCCCAAAAAUCCCCUUAGAUAUUUUAUUGACUUAGGCUGUCCCAAAUUGAGCAUAGCCUUCACCUUGGAUUCAUCUGUGCUUUCCCCUUCUUUUGAGAUAACAUGACCCAAAUACUCCACCUUGCCUUGGCCAAAACUGCACUCUAACUUCUUGAUAAACAAUUGAUUUGCCUUUAGUAACUUGAAUACAACUUGUAAAUGCUUCAGAUGUUCUAGUAAAGAUGCACUAUACACGAGUAUGCCAUCAAAAAAUAUAAGCACAAACUACCUCAAGUAAGGGGCAAAAAUCUGUUUCAUAAGUGCCUGAAAGGUAGCGGCCGCAUUAGUUAGUCCAAAGGGCAUAACUUUAAAUUUUCACAGCCCAUGGUGAGUGCGAAAAGCUGUCUUGUACUCUUCACCCUCUUUCAUCCGAAUUUGAUGAUAUCCGGACCUUAAAUCUAACUUAGUAUAAUUUGUUUACCCAUGUAAUUCAUCAAACAAAUUUUCUACUACUGGUAUAGGGUACUUGUUUUUUACUGUAACAUCAUUCAGCUUGUGAUAAUCAACACAUAUCCGCCAACUAGAAUACUUCUUUUUUUUUUUUACUAAAAGUACUAGUGAAGCAAAUGGAGAAACACUUUUGGCAACUGUCUCGGCCUUUAACAUUUCUGCCAUGAUCUCUUCAAUGGCAUUCAUUUGUUCAAAAAAAUAUCGAUAAGGCCUCAGAUUAAUAGGUUUAGUACCUGUAAAUAAUUGUAUAGCAUGAUCAUAAUCACGGCUAAGAGGCAAUCCUUUGGGCUUUUGAAACUGCUCCCCAAAUUGGCUCAAUAACAGUUCCACUUCCUGAGGCACCACCUUUUUCUUUUCGUCCAGUUUCAACAAAAAUAUUUGGGCCACAAAGUUGCAUUACCCUUUACCGAUCAGCUUGGCAAUAACUUUGAUGUCCACAUUAGUGACUUUCUCAUCAAUAGUAGUGCUCAUGAAUGUUACCAGUUCUAACUCGUAAAUAAAAGAUACCCCGAAUGAUUUUGUGUGCAACACUAUUGGAGCAACAAUGUCGAUCCAAUCCAUUUCAAGCACAAUGUCACAGCCUCCCACCUUCAAUACCCCAAAAUCAAAGGCAAACUUCUUAUCCUGCAUUUUCCAUUCAAAACGUCUGCUCACUUGUCUGCAUUUAAGAUACUGACCAUUUGCGACCUUAACUCUCAUGGGUCGGCCCAAAUCCUCUACUCCUGAUGAACUAAUUCUUGCUAACUGUGGAUCCACAAAGCUAUGGAUCGAUCCACUAUCCAACAGCACCACCACUUUUUGGCCUUUGACCCAGCCUAUAAUUUUAAUUAUUGCUGGGGCCUUUCUACGGCCUAUUAUAACGUUCAAUAUUACUUCUGUCUGUUCUUGGACAAAUUUAGCCACCACUCUUUCUUCUGGUUCUUUAAUCUUUUCUACAGCAUCAAUAAACUCUUCGGCUUCCAAAGCAUUUAGAGUUUAGUUUUUACAAAUAUGCCCAGGAAAAUAUUUGUCAUGGCACUUGCAGCACAAAUUUUGCUCCCUCAUCAUUUCGAUAGUCAUGUUUCUUUGGUUUAAAUUUUUAUUAUUCACAACAGGUGGAUUUUUUUUUGUAUGUAGGAUUUCUUGUGUUUGUGGACUUAUAAGUGGUCUGGGUGGGUUGAAUGUGUUUUGUGUAAGUCUUGGAAAACUAUUAUUUAUCUAUUUGCUUAUACAAUGAUUUAAAAGAUGUCUUAUGUAACUUGGCACAUUUAUAGGCUGCUAACAAGGUUCUAGGUCGAGCAAAUUAUACAAGUGGAAGUAUAUAGGGCUUAAGUCCACUAAUGACACAUGAUACAAAAUGAGGUUCUUUCAAUGCAGGAUUAAGUAUCACCAUUAAACACUUUAAUUCAUCAAACCUACUUUGGUAUGUUUCCACGUCAGUAAUUUGCUCAAGGCGAUUAAAUUCCUUAACAAUAUCCACAGGAUCAUUGUGUCCAAAUAUUUCGUAUAUGUCAUAGGAAAAUUAGCCCCAAGUAACAAUACCCCCAUGGUCAGCAAGAUAACCAUCGAACCAAUGAUCAACAUAUUCUUUCAAAUGAAUGUCCACGUAAUUAAUUUUCUCAUCAUCCAUCACUUGAUAUAUAUUAAAAAUAUUUUUACACCGCCUCGGUCAGCUUCGGGGAUUUAUCUCGUCGAACUUAGGGAAUAAUAGAUUGGCCUUUGGCAGCUUGGACAUAGAUCCAAGGGAGUCAAUCCCAUUAUGGCUGGGUGGAGUCCAGCCUACAGAAGUUGGUUGAAGGGUUCCAAAUAUGAUAGAUAAAAGGUUGUGAUAUUGGGUUCAUAGUCAGUGAGUAUGAAAUGGGUUGGGUUAAAGAACUAGUAGAAAAUUGCCCCGAGGAAUUUAUUAUGCCGUAAUUAACUAGAGGAGGGUAUGAUUGGGGUAUAUAUGGCUGAGUAGACAUUGGAUAAGGGUUUGGUUGUGGAAAAAAUGGUUGGGUGGUCAUUUGGUAUAUGUAAAUUGGAGGUUUAUAGCUUGGGUAUUCAUGGGGUUCGAGCUUAUCUGAUUGUUAUAAGGUUGACUGGUAAGAGGGUAUGAACGAAUUGGUGGUCUAAAAGCUGCCGCUGAAGGAUUUAGGGGAGUGCUAGUGAUGGUCUCAACUUGGUUUCGUGAAUGAGCCGAUGUACUACCCAACAGAGGUAGUGAGGAUAAAUGCACAGCUCGAAGUCCAGUGGUAUUAUGAGGUAAAAAUGGAGGGGUAAAGUUUUGUGUGUUACCGCUGACGGAAGAUAAAUCAGCUUCUUCGGUAGAUCCACUAUGAACACCGACAACUGAAGCUCGUACAGAAGAUGAGGGUUUUGCCGUGUUUUGGCUGCUCAUUUGCAGCAACAUCUCCUCAAUUCUCUUAGAAUAAUUUCCACCAUUUUUGCUUCAAAACUCUACUGCUUCUCCUAAAAUCUAUUCAUCCUUUUCUGUAUUUUUCCAUGAAUUUUUGCAGCUGAACUUCAACCCUUCUCAGUCCAUUUUCUUCAUCGGACUGACUUUUUUGCUUGUCAACCAUCCUCGAUAUCCAGAACCGAGGCUUCGAUACCAAAUUUGUAGCAAUCGGCUACUAUGCGAUACCAAAUUUGUAGCAAUCGGCUACUAUGUAAACUUAAGGAAGAAAGCAAUAGGACAGAGAAUGAAGAAAUUAAUUAAAAAUAACAAUUGUUAUAUUUUUUGAAUAUUCCUAGAUGAUUACAUUGAUUGGCAUUAUAUGCUACUGGAUAGUGACAGCAAGGUUUGUGUAAAAACCUUCUAAGAAAAAGACACAUGUCCUACUUCUAGAAUCCACUAAGGGCAAGAGGAUUUAAUUAAAAUGUUUAAUACUAUGGGACUAAAGUAGAAAUAACGAAACUAUAAGACUACUCGUCUAUGUUGAUAUUGAAAGUGGACUUUAUUGAUAUCGGGGUCGAAUUCGGAUUCUGAAAAUGGGAAUAGGUCCGCAAUAUCAUUUAUGACUUGUGUGCAAAAUUUGGUGUCAAUAGUAGUUGUUUUGGUAUGAAUUGGCGUUAGUUUCAGAAUUCGGAAGUUCAUAAUUACUUAGGCUUGAAUUUGGGUUGCGAUUCAUAGAAUUUACGUUGUUUGAUGUUGUUUUAGGCCUCGAGUAGGUCCGUUAUGUGUUUUGGAACUUGUUGAUAUAUUCGGACGGGGCCCCGAAGGCCUAGUGGCCCCGGGUGUGAUUCAUUUGAAUUCGGAUCAAAAUUUGGACUUGUAGAGUUGCUGAACUUUUCCAACUUCUGGUGUCAUUGCACAUGCGGAGGGACUGGCCGCAUGUGCGGACUCGCAAAAGCGAGCUUAUGAUCGUAUGUGCGAAAGUGGCUUAGCCGAGCUGGGAUCGCAGGUGCAAAAUACGGACCGCAUCUGCGCGUCCGCAGGUGCGGAGAUGUGGUCGCAGAUGCAGAAGAGGGGCUACCUGCUCAUCCUUUGCAGAGGCAGAGAAUCCUCCACAUGAGCGGGUUCUUAGGUGCGGGCCAUGGUCCGCAGAAGAAUAAAUUGAGGACUUAAGUGUUUUCCUCACAUGUGAUGGUUUUUCCGCAGGUGCGGCGUCGCAGAAGCGACCUAAGGCCGCAUAAGCGUUUUAACUGGUAGAAAAAGGGAAUUUUCGAGGGCUUUGAAUCAUAUUUCAUUUUGGGAUUUUUGUAACGACCCGACUUGUCGUUUUAAGAAUUAACAUCCCGUUCAGUGACUUAAGGUCUCGAGCAGCUUCGCAAUAUGUAUUAUGACCCGCGGGUGUGGUCGAGUUUGAAUUACUAAAGAUUCGGAAUUAAAUUAAAUAAACAAUCCUUAUUUAGAAACUUAAAUGGAAAGAGUUGACCAGAGAGUUGACUUUUGAGCAAAGGACUCCAGAAUGGAUUUUUGAUGAUGUCAAUAGUUCCGUUUGGUGAUUAUGGACUUAGGGACAUGUCCGAAAAAUUAUUUGGAGGUCUGUAGAGGAAUUAGGCUUGAAAUGGCAAAAGAUGAAUUUUUGGGAAGUUUGACCGGGGGUUGACUUUUUGAUAUCGGGGUCGGAAUCCAGUUCUGAAAAUUUUUAUAGCUCCUUUAUAUCAUUUAUGACUUGUGUAAAAAAUUUGAGGUUAAUCGGAAUUGAUUUGAUACGUUUCGGCAUAAAAUAUUGAAGUUGGAAGAUUUGAAAACUCAUAAUUCGAUUCGAUGCGCGAUGCGUAAUUUCGGCGUGGUUUGAAGCCUCAACUAAGUUCGCAUUGUAUUUUGGGACAUGUUGGUAUAUUUGGUUAAGGUAUUGAGGGCCUCGGGUAAAUUUCAGAAGGUAAACGGAAUGGAUUUCAGACAAAGAGGGUUGCUGAAAAUUUCUGUUGCAGAGCUGUUCGCCAGAAAUUUCUGGUGCGUGGAGCCAAUUUUGGAAGCUUAUAUCUCGCAAUCUCUAAGGAAACUGAAAAUUUAUAAAACUUCAAAGUUGUAGCCCUUUAAUUUGAGUUUCCAUAAUGUUAAACCAUUCAUCAUUUAGACAUUUGUACAGCAAGUUAUGAUGGAUUGAAUGAAGGCUGAUAGGGCAGUUUCACCAGAAAUUUCGCCAGAAAUUUCUGAUGCGUGGAGCUAAGUUUGGAAGCUUAUAUCUCGCAAUUCAUAAAGAAUCAGAAAGUUAUCAAAACAUGAAAGUUGUAGUCCUUUGAUUCUAAUUUCCAGAAAGUUAAACCAUUCAUCGUUUGAACAUUUGUACAUAAAGUUAUGAUCGAUUGAAUUAAGGCUAGUGCAAGCAAAUUCUGGUGUGGACUUUUAGUGACGGAAAAUGGACUUUUAGUGACGAAAAAUGGACUUUUAGUGACGGAUGGGCAGAAACUUAAGGACAAAAAAUGGUCAUUUCCUUCAUUUCGUUUUGGAUUUUUGGAGCACGGUUCUUGGACGAUUUUCAUGGGAAAAUAUUGGCGUAAGUGUUCCUUAUCUUAUAUUGAUUUUAUUUUAUGAUUCCAUACUCAUUUACAUCAAGAAACCGUGAAUUUAUGGAAGAAAAAUCAAGAUUUUUGUAAAAUUUUCCAAAAACGAAAAUUUAAGAUUUGGAGGUCGAGUUGUUAUUGGAAUUUGAUAAAAUUUGUAUGGGUGGACUCGUAAUUGAAUGGGUUGUCGGAUUUCGUAACUUUUGCUGGAUUUCAAAACGUGGGCCCCACAGGCGAAUUUUUGAGUUAAUUUCUGAUUUUUAUUGAAAAAUAUAGUAUUUUCUUAUGGAAUUGAUUCUAUAAUUUUUGUUGACUGUAUCGAAUAAUUAUGACUAGAUUCGAGCGGUCCGAAGGUCAAUUCAAGCAAGAAGGCAAUUUUGGAAUAUCGGCAUAACUUCAAAAAGGUAAGUGUCUUGCCUAACCUCGAGUGGGGGAAUUACCCCAUAGGCAUCGAGUCUUAUGUGCCAUUUGGAAAAUAUAAAAAGCCGUGUACGCGAGGUGACGAGUAUGUACUCGGGUUUAUAUGUGCAAAUUUUAUUGGAUUAAAGUCUUAGGCAUUAUUGUGUAGUAAAUUGGAUAAUUACUGGCAUUUAUUAAAUCAUCUAAUUGCCAUGCCUAAAUCUUUGUUGUUGAAUUUAUUUUUAUAUGACAAUUUGAUAUGAUUGUUACUUAAAAAUGUAUGUAAUUUCGUGAGUUUUUCUGGUUUGAUAUUUCUUGGAAUUUAAUUUCAUUAUGAAUUUUCCCUAUGCAAAUAUUUAAUUAAGCAAGUUUAAAAAAAAAUAUUAAUAUAAUUAUCUAAAUUUGGACUAAUGAAGGUGUUGCCCUAUGCUGAUUAUUUUCUAUCUCUGUUGAUUGUUUUUGAGGUUUUAUAUACAUUGUGUGGAGCCUUAGGCUAUUUGUUGUGAAAUUAAUUGAUUUGGUUGUAUCUUUGGAAUUGUUUGUGGCCAUUGGGCAAAUUGUGACAUGAAUUAAUUUUGUUAUGUUGCCGUGAUAAUUUUCUAUGUAAAUUAUUGUGUUGUGUGAGUUAUUAUUUUGAAGAUAUAAGGGUGACAUUUCACCGUUGAUAUUAUGUGGGCAUGAGGGUGGUAUUUGACUAUUGUUGUGUUUGUUGGAAUAUUGCCUGGGCGGAGCGAUAAGGGUGGCUAUAGGAGGGAUAAGGUUGGCAAUAAGAGCGAUAAGGGUGGCUAUUGAUAUUGUCAGGGCGGAGGGAUAAGGGAGACUAUUAUAAGAGUGAUAAGGGUGGCUAUAGGAGAGAUAAGGGUGGCUAUUGUCAGGGACGAUAUGUGAUGAUGUGGUGUUGAUGAUUUUCAUGUGAUUUUCUUGUGUUUAUUUUUAUACCUUAUGCAAUUUGUCUUAUUAUUGGUAAAUUGAUAACAAUCUGAUUUAUGUUGAAAUUGGGAACCUGUGGCUAUUGCCAGGCGGAUUAUAAAAUGAAAUGUGGGCACGAGGUACCGUGAGUAAAUAAUGAGGAUAUUGGCAUGUGAAUUGUCUGUGCAGUUGUGGUAUGAAAUGAGGGCACGAGGUGCUGUGAUUAAAUAAUAAUGAUACUUGGCACGUGAAUUGUCCGUGCAGUUGUGGUAUGAAAUGAGGGCACGAGGUGUCGGAAAAAUAUGAUGAUUUAAUUAUGGGCACGAAGUGCCGUGGAGAUAUGCAAAAUGGGCUGAGACCCGUGUUUAUGAAAAAUAUGAAAAUGGGCUGAGACCCAUAUUUUUAUGAUUACGAAAUGAGGUAUCACAUGGUGACUUUUUAAUUGAAGAAUUACAUUCAAAAUAUUUAUUUGAAAGGAUUUUUAUUUAGAAAGAAUUGUAUUUGAAAGAUAUUUAUUAGAGAAAAUUAUAUUUGAAGAGAUUUAUUGAAAGAAUUAUAUUUGAAAGAUAAUUAUUUGAGAAAAUUAUAUUUGAAAGAGAGUUAUUUGGAAGAACUAUAUGUGAAAGACAUUUAUUUGAAGAAUUUGAUUUAAUUGGGUGUACUUGUAUUUAUUAUUUGUUGAGCGAUAUUAAUGGUGUUUUGUUGUCUUACUGUGCAUAUCAAUGGUUAUUUUAUGUUGCCCUUAUUGUUAUUUGUUCCUAUUAUUUUGUAUAUUAUAUUGCACAUGUUAUUAGACUAGUGAGUGUCUUGACUGUACCUCGUCUCUACUCCACUGAGAUUAGUCUUGAUACUUACUGGUAGGGGUGUUCAUGGUUUGGUUUGGGUCGGUUUUUUUCUAAAAAGAAACCAAACCAAGUAAGUCGGUUUUUCAAAUAUUGGAACCAAACCAAACCAAUUAAGUCAGUUUUUUAUCGAUUCGGUUUUUGUCGGUUUUUCGGUUAUUUAUCGAUUUUUUCUUAAAUAUGAGACAUACACUACCAAACGCAUAUUCCGGCAACUACANN
Molecule: long non-coding RNA, 10105 nt
Filed under: Nicotiana tabacum (common tobacco)
Lineage: Eukaryota; Viridiplantae; Streptophyta; Magnoliopsida; Solanales; Solanaceae
Description: long non-coding RNA (NTAB_LNC001971)
Source: RNAcentral